GAGAGGGCGGGAAUAGGCGCAGGCGGAUGCCAGAGUUCUGCAGGAGAGUGGGGGUAAUCCAAAACCGAGCCUUGGUGAAGGUCGGUGUGCUGCCGGGUCCCGGAAUCCCAGGCGGCCCCACUGCACUGCUUGGCUUUGCAAUUCAGCGGGUGUUGGCAUUUUCCCCCGUUGCUUUCUUGACCUGGAAGUUUGUCUACCGCACAGCGCGCGUUGUUGGAGGGGGCGGGGGGCCUGGCAGCAGAAUCUCCCUCCUCCUGUCUCUUUCUGUGUCCCCUCCCCCAAUCCAUCCAAAGUCCACAGGGUCCGAGUCUCUGGGAGAUGUGGGUGUCUGCCUCCCGCAGCGCGCUCUUGAAAAGUUGAUUGGGGCGGUUUCCUGGUGGGGGCGGGGAGACCGGAGGCGCGGCGCCCGGGAGGAGGAAGGAGUGGGUGGGGAAGCGCCUCGGGUGAAGAGUUGCAACCUUGGCGUGAAGUUGUGAGAAAACUGAUCCGGAGACAUCUUUUACAAACAAAAACAAACGACUAUGCGGGAAGCCGUGGGACUCCUGGGGCGUCUGGGGGGUCGCGAUAGUGACGGUGGGAAGAGGGCCGGAGAGGGGGUGCCCAGGCGCCACGAAGAGGCUGCAGUAGUUUGGGGUGUGCAGUGCACGAGAGCAGUGUGCUCAGCUUCCAGUCUUCCCCUUUUCCAGGCUUGGGGUUGGCACCAGCUUCCCCAGACAACAGCAAACCAUGCCCUCCAUAGCUCACUAUUCAGGGAGCCCCUAACUCCCUAAUUCCGCUGUGGGUAUGAACUCGGGACCACCACCGACUAGGGCGAUUGCUCCAGACUUGGUGGACGGAUCCGGGUCUUGAGAGCCUUAGCCUCGAAGAGUUACUCUAUUGUUUCAACCGCAUCAUUUCUAGGUUUAACCGGGAUUUCUCCAAAGUGAAGUCCGAAGGUGGUAGGGUUGGGCGGUUCCACUUUUGUUCCUCAUUUUUGUUUUGGGGGGAGAGGAUGCUAGAAAGGCACAUCUGGCCCUAAUAUGGAAGGAAGUAAGGGUGGGCGGCCAGCUAGCAGUAGCUGGUAUUUUGGAAUUGGCUUUUUGACCUCACUCGCGAUGUAGGGGUCAGAAUUUCCACACAGGGUUCGAGAGCUGAGUUGGGAGAAAUGCUGGCGGAAACGCAGUUGCGAUGAACCUGGGCUGGCAGGGAAUCUGGCUCUGGAAAUGGCAUACCCUCUUCGGACGAACUGGGAGGUCGCUACAGCGAAUUUAAUGGUUGAUGCUCGGUGGGAUUGUUGGGUUUUAGGGCUCUGCCAACGCCCCUUUUCUGACUCCACCCGCAGUGCCCAGCAGCCCCGACGCCCGCGGGCAGACCCACCUUGCCGCCAGCGUCGCCUUUUCAUUGGAAACCGAAGCGAGCCGGGACCCGCAGUGCCACUCUUUGGUGCUCCGCCCCGUCCUGACCUUUGGAUGUCGGGCCCCUAAAGCUUUCUUCUCACUCCCCUGCACAUGCAUACUUGGUCUCCGGCUCCCAGUUGUUGGCCAGGGCAGCGCAGAGGACUGGUUAACUCGCGCGCACCAAUCCCCUCCACCGGUCUCUCUCAGGCCCGGGCUCAGGGCAGAGCAGGGAAUGGGAUGGAGGAGGCGGUUCUCCGACUUAGCUGGCGGGCUCCAAGGGCUUGGACUUGGCUUCGCGCUUCGCGCUCCUCCUGCGAAUCUGACACUUCGCGGAGCGAGCCGACCGGUACCCGGUAGUAUCCUGGCACCCCAGCAGGUGCUAAGAGCCGCGUAGCGCGGGGUCCUUACUUUCUCCACCUGGACUCCGAGGCGCCUCCCAGCCCGCGGCGCAGGGUGAGGCCCGCGGGGAGGAGCCGGUCCAGCCAAGCAGCCCUUACCCUCUCCCUACCCCAGCUGUCCGGGUUCUCGCCGCUAACGCCCUUGGCUCAACCGCCCCUUUCUGGAAUCUCUAGUGGCCCCUGCCCCGGGUGGCUCGCCUCCGCCCCUGCCCCAGCUGGGCUCCUUCUCAUGCAAAGCAGAGGGGUCAUGAUGGGGUGGGGGACGGUCGGUGGGGACCUACGGGGCGACAGCUGGACCUGGCUGCCGGUCCUUCCCGAACCCAAGGCCCGCCGCCUUUCUCCGGUGGGCAAGAGGAGGUUGCUCCAUCCUUUCAGGGGUGCAGGGACCUUGGGACAUAGAUGUGGGGGGAAGGGGGCCUCUCCCCACAGAGAGGCCAGCGCAGUAGGGAAUUGGGGGCGAGGACAGGACACUGGCUCUAGGGCAUGGGCUCUGCUUGUCCUGGUGUCCAGGUGGCGCAGUAAACAGGUCCAUGGGCGCCAACCGUGGCGCCUACGAGGGCGUCUGGGAGCGCAAGGCAAGGUGCAUCUCUUGGCUCCUGAUUCUAGGUUUAAAGUCCAGAUUUAACGCCUCCACGGGGACAGCACACUAGACUAAUGUUGUUUUUCGUUUUAAUUGAGUUUUUAUUUUAAAACGUAAUCAGUCGCAGAGAUACGGAGAGAAAACUGACCGAGCUUUCUAAAUUCGCCUCCGAAGCCGCUCGGCUCAGUUCUUCAUUUAAGCCGAUGCCGGUCCAGCGGUGAGCACCAGCCUUCCCUCCUCACCUUCACCGACACCAUCUGCGUCCUCAAGUACACACGCGCUUCCCUACCCAACGUCUUCCAAGUCACGCAGACCCACAACCACUUACAUCGCCCCAGCACGCAUACAUUCUGGAAGAGGUGCCCUGAGGGUCAUUUUCAGGGCAGGUCCAUCGCUCAGUGACCGCAGAAUCCUUUCCACUCCUCUGCCAGGCACCCUCGGAAAAGGCCCCAGAAGGCCCAGGAAGCGGCUUUCAAGGCCCAGCUUUCUCUUCUGAGAAGCUCCUUGAAGAUCAGCCUGAGAGGAGGGAGCCUGUCCCGGAACUAGGAGUGGAGAGGGUUCUGUCAGCCCUCCCCAGUCGCCCUGCAGUGUGGGGACCUGAAGGCGCCCCCUCCCGCACACCCUUUCCUCCCGCCGCCUCCUUGGUCCCGAGCCCCACCUUCCCUCCUUCCCGCGACGUUCCCGAGUGGAUUGCGCGGCCCAAGGACCGAGCCUACCCAGUCACCGCGGCUGCUAUUGACCCCGAGAGUGGCGGCCGCCCCUGGCGCCUUCCCUCCUCUCCCAUCGCGCUUCUGUCCAACCCACGGCCCCCAGAAAAGGGCCAUUAGGUCGCGAAAGGAGGCGCCUGGGGCGGAGCCGGCUCUAGGUGGUUGCUCUGUGCGGAGCCGCGGGAAUCGGCGCAGCCAGCCACGCCCGUCCAGGAGGAGAGAGGAAGGAGCCAGACAAGAGCAUCCCUGGAUCCUGCCCAUCCCGGAGGCAGCGCAGACUCCAUACAGACUCGGAGACAUCCCAGGGCACUGGGCUCCGAUGAGCCAACUUCCUGACUUCAGCAGUGUGAAGAUGCUACGACACUUUCUGGUGCUGGCAUUCAGCUGUCCCCCAAGCAGGUUGGCUGAUAUUCAUGCUGAUCCCUGGAGAGGGGCCGGGGGCUGUCUGAAAAGAUACUUCUGAUGACUUCAUUGCUGGUGGCUGAGGAUUUGGGGAGCAGGGGUGGGAAGGGCGAGUCCAAUUGCUGUUUAAAUUGGACUUGGCCCCCUUUACCGCAUAGUCUAAGGGAUCUCAGUAGGAGGAAAGGUAGUGAGAGAAACUUAGAAGGCAGGAAGGCAGGCAUAAGGAGGAGUUCCUUGUCUCAAUCUAGGUACUGUCAUGCCAAAAUGAAGCCCCGAGGUGGUUAAAAACAGACUCCUAGAGAGCAGAGCUUUUGAGUUUCCAUGUGGGAUCUUGGCCUGACUCUUGGGAGAUGAAGAAGUUUUGGGCAAGUUUGAAAAGACCUACAAAGUGCCAUUUAUUCAUAAUCUUUGGGGACUAAAUGCAAUGUCUCAUCACUGCCCAGUGGCUGCUAAGGAAGCCUUCUUAGCUUAUAUGUCGCUCAUUUGUGGUUCUGCCAUCUUCUUGCUCAUGUUCCAGUUUGGUCUUGUAGAAGAAGACCAAGCUUUCCCAGCUCUUUAGUUUUUCUUUUGCCUCCAGCUAUCCAUAAGUUAGCCAACAUUCUAGUCCACUGGCCAGCACACAAUUUUGGAAGGUGAGCUGGCAGGCCCAUAACUAUGUGUGCAAUGUUGUUUUCAUUUGGGCCCUAGGAAGUGUAUAGUUUCAACCCUUACAAAAGCAAAGCAGGGGAGCAUUUCUAUGAAAUCUUUCGAUGAAGAAUUUACCACUAAUUUGAUAAGUGCAAUGCUCCAUUUCCUCCUUCUGAAUGAAUACCUUUGUCAGUCAGUGCUGAGGGUCUGCAGAACCUGUAAAAAUGCUUCCUUUGGUCUCCCUGUUUUAACACAUGCUGGGGCUUGGGCCUUCCUCUGACAGACUGGGGAGGGGCAGACACAUUCCAGAGACCAGGUCUUGGAGUGUUAUCUCUUCCCCUACCUCAAACCCUCACCCUCCACUUUAUCUCUCUUUGCUACAAAUGCAGAGACCUCCUAGAGAAGUGUGAAGGGAUGGGUUUUAAUCAGGUUUGGGGAAGGAAGGAGAAGAAGGUGAGCCCAAAGAAAUAUGGGGACAGGUGGGAUUUUUAAAUGACACUUUUCUGUUAUACUUCUCAUAUGUUGUGUAUUAUAUCCUACAAAUUGUGCGUUUGUUGCAGUAAUUUACAAUGUAUGUGUGUGCUUGCCAAAUGCUGCUUGGCCAAAACAGUGUUAAAUAAAAUUGUGAGAAAUGCU
Lemur catta (Ring-tailed lemur) is the source of this 4726-nucleotide long non-coding RNA. RefSeq lists it as uncharacterized. NCBI's taxonomy places the organism in Eukaryota, Metazoa, Chordata, Mammalia, Primates, Lemuridae. The record is from RefSeq and is a predicted model, not a curated record. The transcript has 2 exons.